GACGAACGCUGGCGGCGUGCUUAACACAUGCAAGUCGAACGGAAAGGCCCUGCUUUUGUGGGGUGCUCGAGUGGCGAACGGGUGAGUAACACGUGUGUAUCCUGCCCUUGACUUUGUGAUAACUUCAGGAAACUGGGGCUAAUACCGCAUAUGAGCUCCUGCUGCAUGUGGGUGGUUGGAAAGUGUCGGCGUUUGUGGAUGGAUUCGCGGCUUAUCCGCUUCUUGGUGGGGUAGUUGCUUUCCAGGGCUUUGACGGAUAGCCGGCCUGAGAGGGUUACCGGGGACAAUGGGACUGAGGUACGGACCAGAAGGGUACGGGAGGCAGCAGUGGAGAGUAUGGCGGAAUGGGCGGGAGCGUGAGGUAGCAACGCCGGGUGCGGGAUGACGGCUUUCGAGUUGUAAACCGAUUUCGCCUGUGACGAGGCGUGAGUGACGGUAAUGAGUAAAGAAGCAACGGCUAACUACGUG
Molecule: ribosomal RNA, 468 nt
Filed under: uncultured bacterium
Lineage: Bacteria
Description: partial 16S ribosomal RNA
Rfam family: Bacterial small subunit ribosomal RNA
Source: RNAcentral